RNAcentral lists this ribosomal RNA (368 nucleotides) under uncultured organism. Its description in RNAcentral is "bacterial SSU rRNA". It matches the Rfam family "Bacterial small subunit ribosomal RNA", at positions 526 to 896 of the family's 1533-position model. The record is from RNAcentral.
CGUAGGUGGCAAGCGUUGUCCGGAUUUAUUGGGUUUAAAGGGUGCGUAGGCGGUUUUAUAAGUCAGUGGUGAAAUCCGGCAGCUUAACUGUCGAUGUGCCAUUGAUACUGUAAGACUUGAGUACUGAUGAGGUAGGCGGAAUUGACGGUGUAGCGGUGAAAUGCUUAGAUAUCGCCAAGAACACCGAUAGCGAAGGCAGCUUACUAAGGAGUAACUGACGCUGAUGCACGAAAGUGUGGGGAUCAAACAGGAUUAGAUACCCUGGUAGUCCACACUGUAAACGAUGAUUACUCGAUGUUGGCGAUACACAGCCAGCGUCUUAGCGAAAGCGAUAAGUAAUCCACCUGGGGAGUACGCCGGCAACGGUG